Molecule: transfer RNA, 87 nt
Filed under: Saprospiraceae bacterium
Lineage: Bacteria; Pseudomonadati; Bacteroidota; Saprospiria; Saprospirales; Saprospiraceae
Description: tRNA-Ser
Rfam family: tRNA
About the family: Transfer RNA (tRNA) molecules are approximately 80 nucleotides in length. Their secondary structure includes four short double-helical elements and three loops (D, anti-codon, and T loops).
Source: RNAcentral
GGAGAAGUGGCAGAGCGGUUGAAUGCAUCGGUCUUGAAAACCGACGUACUCGAAAGGGUAUCGGGGGUUCGAAUCCCUCCUUCUCCG